RNAcentral lists this ribosomal RNA (1710 nucleotides) under Triticum aestivum (bread wheat). RNAcentral's name for it is "partial small subunit ribosomal RNA". The record is from RNAcentral. Lineage: Eukaryota; Viridiplantae; Streptophyta; Magnoliopsida; Poales; Poaceae.
AUGGAAAGGAAGGCUGGAAUGAUACUGGAUGAACAUGUUCUGAAAGCUAAUGAUCGCAAGAGGAAACAUGAGUCUGCUGUGAAGAUUACUGGCACAGAUGAUUCUGCUGAGGUCUCUCAGCAUGCUGAUGGUUCUGCUGCCCUUAAGAAGUCUAAAAUGACCUCUUGUGCUGGCCAUAUUCUGGAGUGGUAUAAGAACUUCAAGACAAGCGGGUUGCCGGUGCGUGUGCUUUGUUACCACCAGGGUAAAUGGAGGGAUUUUCCAGAGCAUGUUGUGAAUCUGGUACAGCAGGACUUCAAGUUGAAGAGGCCAAUUACUAAUGCUGUAUUCAAGAACCAGCAAGUCCUGUUGGACUUUAUGCACAUGGUCUGCAUUGAUUCUUCAAUGACCACAAACAAGCCAAUAGCAUGGAUUGAUGUUCAUGGUAACCGCUUCUUUCCAGAGUUAUGUGCUGGACUGGUAACAUCUAAACCAUCUCAGCAUGGGAAAAGUGACCCCAGUGGUAAAUCUGAAGCUGGUGAGUGUGCUGGGACUUUGAUUUUAACAGCUGGAGCUGAAAGCUCGAGUUCAGAUUCUGUUGAUGCAGUACUCCCUCAUGCUAAGAAGGUACAUAAUUAUGCUGCUGUUGAAAAUAAAGCUGGUCCUGCAAUCUGUUUGAAGGAAUCUGCUAGUGGAAACAUACAUGCUGCUACUUGUAAGCAGAAAAUUGGCCAACCUGUUGAUUCAGCUGUGCGCAAAUUAUUACUUGAAGGGGCAGGCCAACCUUUUAGUGAAGAAAAUAUUGUUGGGAUCUACAGAACCCCACUGGUAGAUCAGCAAGGGCGGGCUCGCUUCAAUCUUUUCCAGAAGGAACUUGAAGUCACCAAAAUGCAUCGUGGGAAUGCAAAUGUGCGCUAUGCGUGGCUACCUUGUUCCAAGGAUGCUAUGGAGGAGAUGAUGAUGCGUGGUGUUCUGGAAGUUACAAAACCAAUGCUGGGGCCAAUGUAUGGCAUUGGUACACAUCUUGCUCCAGCGAACUGCGCCAAAACUUGUGCCAGCUACUCAGAUAUUGACGAAAAUGGCAUCAUGAGGAUGAUGCUGUGCCGUGUUAUAAUGGGGAAUGUUGAGGUUGUACUUCCUGGAUCAAAGCAAUUCCAGCCAACCAAUGAAAGAUUUGAUAGUGGCGUGGAUGAUCUUCAAAAGCCAAAGCACUAUGUCAUAUGGGAUGCUAAUGUGCAUCGACACAUCUAUGCUGAAUAUGCUGUUGUUAUCAAAGCACCUUCCAUGACCAAUGAAUACAUGGCUAGAGAAGAUACUGCAUCCAACGUAUCUGAGAUAAGAAAUUCUGGUUCAGCAGAAAGUGUAAUCAAGGACGAUAGUUCCGAAACCAUGGCAUCUCCAGCUGGUAAACAACAAGCACCCAGGUUUGGGCGUGCUCCAACUCGAAGGCCUCCUACUUCACCCUGGAUGCCCCUCCCAAUGCUUUUUGCUGCCAUCUCCACAAAAGUUCCCCGUUCUGACAUGGACGUAAUCCAUGGACACUAUGAAGAAUUCAAGAGGAGAAAGAUAAGCAGGCCCGAGUUUGUGGGACGACUAAGACAGAUCGUCGGCGACAAGCUGCUGGUUUCUACAGUAAUGAGGCUGCAACCUAAGGUGGUGCCACCCAUGGCAGGUGCUGAAGUGCUACCAAGAAGAACACCCGGCACGGGAGAGCAGCACCUCCAGAAGUAG